UGCAAAAUUUAGGGAAAAUGAAACCAUCGACACAACCACAAAAACAAAAACCUCUACUCACUCUUUCUCUUUCAAGACACUUAUGGAACCAUUGUUUUCAAACUCAGAUCUUUGUUUUUCUCGGAGUAACUUCAAUAUGAGGAAUAUCAUUUUGUGAAUCAGAUUCUUCGAAUUGAGGUACAUCAAUUUCAAUUUCAGAUCUUUUCCUUCUCGGAUUCAAUUUCAAAUUUAGGUACAUCAAUUUAAAAUUAAGAUCUUCGUCUAUCGUUGAAUCAAUUUAUAGAUCAUGACCCAAAAUUGUAAUUUGUCGUCCAUCUGAGUGCGGAUCAACAAUUUUAAGGUGCAUUCUUUCUCCUUGAAUCAAUUAAUAGAUCUUGACCCAAUUUUGUUUUUUAAUGUCUUUUUUUCAAUAAUCUCACAGAUUAUGUUUAGAUAUGGGUUAGCUUCAUGAGUAAUUUAGAUUUUAUUGUUUCUGUUAUGUUUCAUUUUGUGCUUCUGGUUUGAAUGAGCAUGAUAGCAUUGUUUUUCGUAUCGCAAUUCCACCACAAUCGAUUGAUUUUCGUAGGAGCUGCUGUGAGUGCUGACUUUGUUUGGCUUGUUCUCCUUCGUUAGAGAAGGUUUUUAGGUGAUUCUUUUUUUGAAUUUGGGUGUUUUUCUGUCUACUUUCUGCCUUUAAAAUUUCAGAAUUUUUGGAGUUUAUUUGUUAUUAAAAUGGCCUGUUUUGUUUGGGCUGGUCUGUUUUGGUUCGAAUAGGAUUAUUCUUACUGUUUGGGUGAGAUUUUAAUAGAGUUGUUCUGUAAUUUUCUCUAGGGAUUGGGUGUUAGAAAAUAUUAUUGCACUCUUUAGUCCCCUGUGUUUCUUGCUAAUACUAUUUUCUUGUGCGUUCAUUUUUCCCUUGUAUGUGAUUACUAUGGCAAAGGAAUCGGUAAAUAUAAAAAACUUAUGGAUGAUUUUCCAUGAAAAAUGUGAGUAACUUGAUUAGAGAACAGAAUUCAAGUAGGAAUACUUGAGGAUUGUAGCUCAUAUUAGUGUUCUUUAUUCAAAGCAUCCAUCAUUUUGAUGUUGACUCCUAAGCAAUUCUUGUUUAUCGUAUUCUCUUAGGUAAUUGCCUAACAUCUUUAAAAGGACUCAAGCAUUGUCAUGCUCCUGUUAUGAUUUGCUUAUCUUUUCUUUUUAUCUGUGCAACUCUAUUGUCAUCAAAAUGAAUUCGAUACUUCGUAACUCUUGUUGCAAGCUUGUCAUCUAUAGACUUGAGAGCGUAAGUGUUAUCUAUUUUAUCCUUCUAUUUUUCUUCCGUUUAGAAGAAUGAAAAACAAUAUUUUGGGUUUCAUAUCACAUUACUAAAUAUUUCCCUUAGAAGAUACUGAAUUUGGUGUAUAUAGUCAUUCAAUCAUGAAGAAAUUCACUUACUUUAUAACAUAAAGAUGUUUGAGUCGUAUGGAAUGCAGAAAAUAAGAUGAGAUCAGUUGAAAAGGGUCUGCAGUACAUAGAGCUUAAUAGUGAUUAGUGAGGCCCCUCUGAUAAUUGACGAUUGCAGACCGCCAAACAACUGACCAACUGCUGGAACAAUCAUUUUCUAGAACUUACAGGAGGUUCAUUGUGUUUAGGGGUGUGCUGUGAACGGUGCUGAGAAUGAAGGUACCUAGGCUUUUUCUUUUUUCCUUUAUUGAGAUUAUGAAUGUUUGUUCUUUGAUGAUCUAACUUAAUAUAUUGUCAUAUUAUGCAUGCUAUUAAUUGAAAUGGUGUGAAUCAUAGAACUAACAGCUGAUUGAAUUAGUGUAAUUUAUUUUCAUGUACCAAUUAAGAGUAGCAAACAAAGUCUGUCUUUGAUUUAGCUCUUCUGGUCUUAGUAGUGAUGCAGGUUGAGCAGCUGGAAGCUAAUUAGAAUAUGAGCCAAGUAAUAUUCACGUGGAUUACAUGUUAAUUAUUAACUUAGUUGAGUUAUGUUGACCAAGAGUUGUGGUCAAAAUUUUAGUGUUACUAUUUAGACUAUAAAUAUUAGUUUGGUGACUAAAUAAAAUGCGUUUUAGAUCUUUUGAUAAAGAUAAUUCUUGUUGAAUUGAUUUGUAUAGCCUCUUAUGAUCACUUUGGUAAUGUUGACCUGAUUCUAAUUAGUGAUUUCCUUGUACAGUUUGUCCCUUGCGUAUAGACAGCAAGGUCUGUACUACUUUAUCUUCUCUGAGUUGUGUAAUUUAAUGAUAACAUAUAUUGACUUUGAUGUCUUUAUUUAUUUCCCUAAUGCAUUUUAAAUAUGUUUGUUUGGUUUGCCGAAGUACCUUUUUUCCACAGGUUAUAGAUCAUGAAUUUCCAAACAAUUUUGACAACUUUGUUCACCAAUCCCUUGUGGCAAAACAAAUCAUUGCUGAUAUUGAUACUACUGGACGUUGUUGCUGCCUAUGCUUAACAUUGCUACAUGCUGCUGCCACUGCCUAUGCUUGACGCUGCUGCUACUUCCUCUGCUUAACUUUAGUUGCUUCCUAUGCUUGCUACUGUUCAUGCAUGGGGCUUUCUAAGCUAAAACAAGGUUCUAAAUUAGUUAUGAAUGAGCACAAUUCAGAAUUAUAACAGUUGUAACAGAAAACUCAUUACUAUGAAAUAUUGUACAAAAAAAAUUUAUGUGCAAUAAUACAGCUAUUUUUGGCA
Chenopodium quinoa (quinoa) is the source of this 2643-nucleotide long non-coding RNA. RefSeq lists it as uncharacterized. The record is from RefSeq and is a predicted model, not a curated record. The transcript is spliced from 2 exons. NCBI's taxonomy places the organism in Eukaryota, Viridiplantae, Streptophyta, Magnoliopsida, Caryophyllales, Amaranthaceae.